This 253-nucleotide ribosomal RNA is filed under the name uncultured bacterium. RNAcentral describes it as "partial 16S ribosomal RNA". It matches the Rfam family "Bacterial small subunit ribosomal RNA", at positions 524 to 776 of the family's 1533-position model. The record is from RNAcentral.
UACAGAGGUCUCAAGCGUUGUUCGGAUUCAUUGGGCGUAAAGGGUGUGUAGGUGGCGCCGUAAGUCGGGUGUGAAAUUUCGGAGCUUAACUCCGAAACUGCAUUUGAUACUGUGGUGCUUGAGGACUGGAGAGGAGACUGGAAUUCACGGUGUAGCAGUGAAAUGCGUAGAGAUCGUGAGGAAGACCAGUGGCGAAGGCGGGUCUCUGGGCCGAUACUGACGCUGAGGAGCGAAAGCGUGGGGAGCGAACAGG